UACGUAGGUGGCAAGCGUUGUCCGGAAUCACUGGGCGUAAAGCGCGCGCAGGCGGCGAUCUACGUCUGGGGUGAAAGCCCGGAGCUCAACUCCGGGACUGCCUUGGAUACGGGAUCGCUUGAGGGUUGGAGAGGCAAGGGGAAUUCCACGUGUAGCGGUGAAAUGCGUAGAUAUGUGGAGGAACACCUGUGGCGAAGGCGCCUUGCUGGCCAAUUUCUGACGCUGAGGCGCGAAAGCGUGGGGAGCAAACAGG
RNAcentral lists this ribosomal RNA (253 nucleotides) under uncultured bacterium. RNAcentral describes it as "partial 16S ribosomal RNA". It matches the Rfam family "Bacterial small subunit ribosomal RNA", at positions 524 to 776 of the family's 1533-position model. The record is from RNAcentral.